GCCGAGCCAAGUAGCGAUGGCUUGUCACCCGAGCGGGGGCAAUAAGGUGGUGCGGGAUGCCUGGUCGUUUGCGCUUGGGCCUGGGCCUGUGGUUCGCUCUAUGCGGCCCGCCCGUUCCAAGUUGCGUAGCGUGUAUGGGGUGCCCUGGCGAAAGCUAGAGCGUCCCUGCACCUAGAGUGGCGGGUAUUGCGUGAGGCUGGUUUCACAGAGCAGCGAGUACCGCCCGCUUCCAACGGUGGAAGGAUAACGGGCCGCUGCAGCCCUGGCCCGCUUCCGGCCCAUGUGCCUUCCAUGGCAGACCCCCAUCUUU
Molecule: signal recognition particle RNA, 310 nt
Filed under: Oryza sativa Indica Group (long-grained rice)
Lineage: Eukaryota; Viridiplantae; Streptophyta; Magnoliopsida; Poales; Poaceae
Description: Plant signal recognition particle RNA
Rfam family: Plant signal recognition particle RNA
Source: Rfam by way of RNAcentral